GAUUAGGAAAUGGAUGGGAAAUUGGUACGAUAGGAGUAAUCGGCCUUUAUGACAGACAAACCUCGAUCCCACUCUUUUAUAAUCCCAACCAUUCUUAGUUUUUUAGCUCCAAUGUGUCUACCCCCUGAGUUUCUGUCCUUUUUGUUUGUACCUUGGAGAGAGUAUACUAAUCUGUUAACCUGUUCUCUUGCCAGGAAUCACAUGGGAGCUCACUCGCUUAAGACUUCAAUCAAUGAAGUUCGAUCUUUAGCAUACUCGCCGG
This 262-nucleotide long non-coding RNA is filed under the name Elaeis guineensis (African oil palm). Its description in RNAcentral is "long non-coding RNA (EGUI_LNC015658)". The record is from RNAcentral. Lineage: Eukaryota; Viridiplantae; Streptophyta; Magnoliopsida; Arecales; Arecaceae.